RNAcentral lists this long non-coding RNA (384 nucleotides) under Olea europaea (common olive). RNAcentral describes it as "long non-coding RNA (OEUR_LNC011185)". Lineage: Eukaryota; Viridiplantae; Streptophyta; Magnoliopsida; Lamiales; Oleaceae. The record is from RNAcentral.
ACAAAGUCAUUAUACAAAUAGAUUAAUUGUAAGCAAAUAAACCGGUCUGCGAUCCACCUGUAAAUUUGCCAAUCAGGACAUCUAAUUAUCCGAAUAAAUUGAACAGACAAGUUAAAAAUUCAUCAAUUAAACCCUAAUUUCAGUUAUGCCGCCACCUCUUCCACCACCCUACGCCGGAUGAUAGUGCCGAUUGCCACCCAAGUCCAUUAUUUCACCGGUGCGCUCCCUCUCUCUUAUUCUUUCUUUCUCUUUCUCGCACAAUCAUAGACCCACAGAUAUUGAACUGCAAAGAUAUAAAAUGGUUCUUGUUCACUACUUUAAGUUAAUGAAACAUUUUGGUCUGAUGUUAUAUGUAUUCACUGUUGUAACCAGAAAUUUAAAUAC